This 1039-nucleotide long non-coding RNA is filed under the name Piliocolobus tephrosceles (Ugandan red Colobus). Its description in RNAcentral is "lncRNA (ENSPTEG00000008815.1)". Lineage: Eukaryota; Metazoa; Chordata; Mammalia; Primates; Cercopithecidae. The record is from RNAcentral.
AUAACAGUGAUAACAGUGGUAACAGUGGUAACAGUAGUAACAGUGAUAACAGUGGUAACAGUAAUAACAGUGGUAACAGUAGUAACAGUAGUAACAGUAGUAACAGUAGUAACAGUAGUAACAGUGGUGGUGAUGGUUAUAGUGGUCAUGACAACAGUAGAGAUAGUCAUAAUGGUAAUGACAACAGUAGUAGUAACAAUAUGAACAAGAGUAAUAAUGUUAGUGAUAGUAAUAAAAACCAUAAAGAAGAAGAAAAUAAAUUUAUAAUUUAUGAUGAAAAUAAAAAAGAUAUUAUUAAAAAAUAUGCAAAAAGUAUUGGUAAUAAUGUAAAAAGUAAAAAGAGAAAAGCAAAAAGCUUUGAUAAAAACAUUAACAGUAAUAAUAUAUUUAAAAUUAUAAAUAACCAUAAUUCUCAAGGUAGUAGUCAAAAUGGCAAUUUCAAAGAUACGCAAAGUCGUAUUGAGUUAUAUAGUGAAAUUAUAAAAAAUUGUGACUUAGAAAAAUCGAUUAAACACGAAAAUGGUCAUAAUGGCAAUAGUAGUAAUAGUUGUGAUAGUAGUAGUAAUAGUUGUGAUAGUAGUAGUAAUAGUUGUGAUAGUAGUAGUAAUAGUUGUGAUAGUAGUAGUAAUAGUUGUGAUAGUAGUAGUAAUAGUUGUGAUAGUAGUAGUACCAAUUUUGUAAAAAAUAUUAAUGAAUUUUUUAAAACCCAUAUAAAAAACCACACAAAUUAUGAUCAAAGUAAUGAUAACGAUAAUUAUAACUUUGAUCAGACAAAAACAAAAUCUGUUAACAAUUUCAAUGAAAUAGUAGAUAUUUCACAUAUAACAAAUGUAAAAGACAUGAAGAAAUUUAAUAUAUUUGAACACAACUUGAGUAAAUUAUUUUUAUUUGACAUUUUUAGCAAUUAGGUUGAACAUAAAUCGUCCAUAAUGCUACUGUUACUACACUGAUGGUGAUGAUAGCAGUAGUAGUAUCCGUAGCAAUAGCAGUAGAAAUAGCAGUAGCGGUUAUAAUAAUAAAUAUUUUUUUGUUUUUUUCA